This 4659-nucleotide long non-coding RNA is filed under the name Zea mays. RNAcentral describes it as "long non-coding RNA (ZMAY_LNC005780)". Lineage: Eukaryota; Viridiplantae; Streptophyta; Magnoliopsida; Poales; Poaceae. The record is from RNAcentral.
AAUGGGGGUUGUGUGGCCAUUGAUCAUCGACCAGACGCUCAUACACCUCACCCCACAUAUGUUUCCUUGCCAUAGAUCACAUUCUUGGAUUUCUGGUGGAGACCAUUUCUUGGUCUAAAAUCCGUAGGUGUUAGCCUCUAGUAUUAUUGAAAAUGGUCGUUCAUGGCUAUUUUCGACAAAAAUUAGGGUUGUGUGGCCAUUGAUCAUCGACCAGAGGCUCAUACACCUCACCCCACAUAUGUUUCCUUGCCAUAGAUCACAUUCUUGGAUUUCUGGUGGAAACCAUUUCUUGGUUAAAAACUCGUACGUGUUAGCCUUCGGUAUUAUUGAAAAUGGUCAUUCAUGGCUAUUUUCGGCAAAAUGGGGGUUGUGUGGCCAUUGAUCGUCGACCAGAGGCUCAUACACCUCACCCCACAUAUGUUUCCUUGUCGUAGAUCACAUUCUUGGAUUUCUGGUGGAGACCAUUUCUUGGUCAAAAAUCCGUAGGUGUUAGCCUUCGAUAUUAUUGAAAAUGGUCGUUCAUGGCUAUUUUCGACAAAAAUGGGGGUUGUGUGGCCAUUGAUCAUCGACCAGACGCUCAUACACCUCAACCCACAUAUGUUUCCUUGCCAUAGAUCACAUUCUUUGAUUUCUGGUGGAGACCAUUUCUUUGUCAAAAAUCUGUACGUGUUAGCCUUUGGUAUUUUUGAAAAUGGUCAUUCAUGGCUAUUUUCGACAAAAAUGGGGGUUGUGUGGCCAUUGAUCAUCGACUAGAGGCUCAUACACCUCACCCCACAUAUGUUUCCUUGCCAUAGAUCACAUUCUUGGAUUUCUGGUGGAGACCAUUUCUUGGUCAAAAAUCCGUAGGUGUUAGCCUUCGGUAUUAUUGAAAAUGGUCGUUCAUGGCUAUUUUCGGCAAAAUGGGGGUUGUGUGGCCAUUGAUCGUCGACCAGAGGCUCAUACACCUCACCCCACAUAUGUUUCCUUGUCGUAGAUCACAUUCUUGGAUUUCUGGUGGAGACCAUUUCUUGGUCAAAAAUCCGUAGGUGUUAGCUUUCGGUAUUAUUGAAAAUGGUCGUUCAUGGCUAUUUUCGACAAAAAUGGGGGUUGUGUGGCCAUUGAUCAUCGACCAGACGCUCAUACACCUCACCCCACAUAUGUUUCCUUGCCAUAGAUCGCAUUCUUGGAUUUCUGGUGGAGACCAUUUCUUGGUCAAAAAUCCGUACGUGUUACCCUUCGGUAUGAUUGAAAAUGGAGGUUGUGUGACCAUUGAUCAUCGACCAGAGGCUCAUACACCUCACCCCACAUAUGUUUCCUUGUCGUAGAUCACAUUCUUGGAUUUCUGGUGGAGACCAUUUCUUGGUCAAAAAUCCGUAGGUGUUAGCCUUCGAUAUUAUUGAAAAUAGUCGUUCAUGGCUAUUUUCGACAAAAAUGGGGGUUGUGUGGCCAUUGAUCAUCGACCAGAGGCUCAUACACCUCACCCCACAUAUGUUUCUUGCCAUAGAUCACAUUCUUGGAUUUCUGGUGGAGACCAUUUCUUGGUCAAAAAUCCGUAGGUGUUAGCCUUCGGUAUUAUUGAAAAUGGUCGUUCAUGGCUAUUUUCGACAAAAAUGGGGGUUGUGUGGCCAUUGAUCAUCGACCAGACGCUCAUACACCUCACUACACAUAUGUUUCCUUGCCAUAGAUCACAUUCUUGGAUUUAUGGUGGAGACCAUUUCUUGGUCAAAAAUCCGUAGGUGUUAGCCUUCGUAUUAUUGAAAAUGGUCGUUCAUGGCUAUUUUCGACAAAAUGGGGGUUGUGUGGCAAUUGAUCAUCGACCAGAGGCUCAUACACCUCACCCCACAUAUGUUUCCUUGCCAUAGAUCACAUUCUUGGAUUUCUGGUGGAGACCAUUUCUUGGGCAAAAAUCCGAAUGUGUUAGCCUUUGGUAUUUUUGAAAAUGGUCAUUCAUGGCUAUUUUCGACAAAAAUGGGGGUUGUGUGGCCAUUGAUCUUCGACCAGAGGCUCAUACACCUCACACACAUAUGUUUCCUUGCCAUAGAUCACAUUCUUGGAUUUAUGGUGGAGACCAUUUCUUGGUCAAAAAUCCGUAGGUGUUAGCCUUCAGUGUCAUUGAAAAUGGUCGUUCAUGGCUAUUUUCGACAAAAAUAGGGUUGUGUGGCCAUUGAUCGUCGACCAGAGGCUCAUACACCUCACCCCACAUAUGUUUCCUUGCCAUAGAUCACAUUCUUGGAUUUCUGGUGGAGACCAUUUCUUGGUCAAAAAUCCGUAGGUGUUAGCCUUCGGUAUUAUUGAAAAUGGUCAUUCAUGGCUAUUUUCGACAAAAUGGGGGUUGUGUGGCCAUUGAUCUCGACCAGAGGCUCAUACACCUCACCCACAUAUGUUUCCUUGCCAUAGAUCACAUUCUUGGAUUUCUGUGAACCAUUUCUUGGUCAAAAUCCGUAGUGUUAGCCUCGUAUUAUUGAAAUGGUUCAUGGCUUUUUCAUUGUGUGCCAUUGAUCUCGACCAGAGGCUCAUACACCUCACCCCACAUAUGUUUCCUUGCCAUAGAUCACAUUCUUGGAUUUCUGGUGGAAACCAUUUCUUGGUCUAAAAUCCGUAGGUGUUAGCCUCUAGUAUUAUUGAAAAUGGUCGCUCAUGGCUAUUUUCAAGGUCGCUCAUGGCUAUUUUCAUAAAAAAUGGGGGUUGUGUGGCCAUUGAUCAUCGACCAGAGGCUCGUAAACCUCACCCCGACCAUUUCUUGGUCAAAAAUCCGUAGGUGUUAGCCUUUGGUAUUAUUGAAAAUGGUCGUUCAUGGCUAUUUUCGACAAAAAUGGGGGUUGUGUGGCCAUUGAUCGUCGACCAGACGCUCAUACACCUCACCCCACAUAUGUUUCCUUGUCGUAGAUCACAUUCUUGGAUUUCUGGUGGAGACCAUUUCUUGGUUAAAAAUCCGUAGGUCUUAGCCUCUAGUAUUAUUGAAAAUGGUCGCUCAUGGCUAUUUUCAUAAAAAUGGGGGUGUGUGGCCAUUGAUCAUCGACCAGAGGCUCAUACACCUCACCCCACAUAUGUUUCCUUGCCAUAGAUUACAUUCUUGGAUUUCUGGUGGAAACCAUUUCUUGGUUAAAAACUCGUACGUGUUAGCCUUCGGUAUUAUUGAAAAUGGUCAUUCAUGCUAUUUUCGACAAAAAUGGGGGUUGUGUGGCCAUUGAUCAUCGACCAGAGGCUCGUACACCUCACCCCACAUAUGUUUCCUUGCCAUAGAUCACAUUCUUGGAUUUCUGGUGGAGACCAUUUCUUGGUCAAAAAUCCGUACGUGUUAGCCUUUGGUAUUUUGAAAAUGGUCAUUCAUGGCUAUUUUCGACAAAAAUGGGGGUUGUGUGGCCAUUGAUCAUCGACUAGAGGCUCAUACACCUCACCCCACAUAUGUUUCCUUGCCAUAGAUCACAUUCUUGGAUUUCUGGUGGAGACCAUUUCUUGGUCAAAAAUCCGUAGGUGUUAGCCUUCGGUAUUAUUGAAAAUGGUCGUUCAUGGCUAUUUUCGACAAAAAUGGGGGUUGUGUGGCCAUUGAUCAUCGACCAGACGCUCAUACACCUCACCCCACAUAUGUUUCCUUGCCAUAGAUCACAUUCUUGGAUUUCUGGUGGAGACCAUUUCUUGGUCAAAAUCCGUAGGUGUUAGCCUCUAGUAUUAUUGAAAAUGGUCGUCAUGGCUAUUUUCGACAAAAAUGGGGGUUGUGUGGCCAUUUAUCAUCGACUAGAGGCUCAUACACCUCACCCCACAUAUGUUUCCUUGCCAUAGAUACAUUCUUGGAUUUCUGGUGGAACCAUUUCUUGGUUAAAAAUCGUACGUGUUAGCCUUCGGUAUUAUUGAAAAUGGUCAUUCAUGGCUAUUUUCGGCAAAAUGGGGGUUGUGUGGCCAUUGAUCGUCGACCAGAGGCUCAUACACCUCACCCCACAUAUGUUUCCUUGUCGUAGAUCACAUUCUUGGAUUUCUGGUGGAGACCAUUUCUUGGUCAAAAAUCCGUAGGUGUUAGCCUUCGAUAUUAUUGAAAAUGGUCAUUCAUGGCUAUUUUCGGCAAAAUGGGGGUUGUGUGGCCAUUGAUCGUCGACCAGAGGCUCAUACACCUCACCCCACAUAUGUUUCCUUGUCGUAGAUCACAUUCUUGGAUUUCUGGUGGAGACCAUUUCUUGGUCAAAAAUCCGUAGGUGUUAGCCUUCGAUAUUAUUGAAAAUGGUCGUUCAUGGCUAUUUUCGACAAAAAUGGGGGUUGUGUGGCCAUUGAUCAUCGACCAGAGGCUCAUACACCUCACCCCACAUAUGUUUCCUUGCCAUAGAUCACAUUCUUGGAUUUCUGGUGGAGACCAUUUCUUGGUCAAAAAUCCGUAGGUGUUAGCCUUCGGUAUUAUUGAAAAUGGUCGUUCAUGGCUAUUUUCGACAAAAAUGGGGGUUGUGUGGCCAUUGAUCAUCGACCAGAGGCUCAUACACCUCACCCCACAUAUGUUUCCUUGCCAUAGAUCACAUUCUUGGAUUUCUGGUGGAGACCAUUUCUUGGUCAAAAAUCCGUAGGUGUUAGCCUCUAGUAUUAUUGAAAAUGGUCGUUCAUGGCUAUUUUCGACAAAAAUGGGGGUUGUGUGGCCAUUGAUCAUCGACCAGAGGCUCAUACACCUCACCCCACAUAUGUUUCCUUGCCAUAGAUCAC